Chelonia mydas (Green sea turtle) is the source of this 3641-nucleotide long non-coding RNA. RefSeq lists it as uncharacterized. The record is from RefSeq and is a predicted model, not a curated record. NCBI's taxonomy places the organism in Eukaryota, Metazoa, Chordata, Testudines, Cheloniidae. The transcript has 7 exons.
AGGCUCCCCGCUGGAGGCUUCUCCCCAGAGAAGGAGCAGUGAAGUUGGGUCCUCCAGGCAUGCCUAGAAAGGCUGCAGGGAAGCAGCCAAUCAGAAUGCAGCAGGCUCAGUUAAAAGGAGGUGCAGGGCGUACCCAGGUCAGUUGCUGGCUGGGACCAGAAGGGUGAGGCAGACUGUGAGAGACUCCCAGUGAAGUGGCCUGUGGGAGACCUGGUCAACAAAGAACUUUCACCCUGAGGGUCAGUGAGACCUGCUGAGGACAGAGUCUCCAGGGAGGAAGCUCUGGGAGCAUGGCUCUAAACCACGGCAGGGACAGACUCAAAGCUAGCCCAGGAGGGGCUGAGAACUGAGCUCAGAGACAGGACUGCAGACGUUACCAACGACACAGGGGUCAAGCUCUGUUGGACCUUGUUUGUUGUAUGUUGACUGUGUGUGACUUGGCUGGAGGGCUGAGACACUGAAGACUCGCCUGAUGAGGGAAUUGCCGAUGGCGGGGGCACCAUGAGCAGAGAGAGUGAAGGUUCACACACACCUGCCAGGAGGAGCUCAGGAGAGCUGUUUCCCUCCAUUUCCUGGCUUCCAAAAAUCUUCCCAAGAGGAGCUCCACCUUAGCUACUACAGACUCCCUUCGAGAGAAUUGAGUCAUUAACCACUGGAUCAGCUUGCCAGGGCUUUGCAUCCACCUGCUCUGAUCCCCACUGAAGUCCAUGGCAGUCUUUCCAUUUUCAAAGUAACUAGAGCUGCCCAGGUGGGCGAAGAGAGAAACCCAGUGUUCCUCUGCUCAGCUGCAGGAUUGCGAAGGGCUCAUCUGGAGAAAGAACCCUCCCGGUGUAUUCAGGAGCAUCUCGUAGAUACUGAAAUGUGUAAUGCAGUGUGAAUCCCACUGUGGGGAACACAGGAGCGCUCUGGAGCCAGAUGUGCGAAGCUUUAGCCAAGGUGCAGUGAACCUUUCGGUCUACUUAUAACUAAGAAGAGAGCUUCAAGUUUGGAUCCUACUCCAUACAGUUUCAGUAUUAUCUGACAUUGAUUAGUUUUACCUUUGGAAAGUGUGUGUGUGAAGGGGGGAGAUUAUUGAUCUUGUGAGACAGUUCAUGGUAUUCAGUUUGUCAGGGGUUAUUUCAUGUCUAACUCUCCCCAUUGAUAGGGCUAUUUGCUAUUGUGUCGAUUACAGCAGAUCUUUAUCUGUAUUGUUUAUCAUGUUAGAGCAUAGAUUGGCUGUUUUCAUAACAGGAAGCUGCUUGCUGUCUUGCCAUAUUAAGGAACUCCCGUGUGCACAAUAUUUUCCAAAGCAAAAAUCUAAACACACUGCAUUGGCUGGGUGACUUCCCUUGACUCAAGUUGCUUUUGUUCCUUGUAAGGCAAAAUUCCGUAUAGAUACAUAAACUUGCUACACAUGUGCAUGUUGUCUCUUGGCCUAAGAUACAGGAAAUACAGCUGUCCUCCUGUCAAGUUUAGAUACUUCCCAACAUCAAAACUAAAUAUCAACACUUUUUCAUAAGCAUCCACUGAUCUGGGGUGCCUUCCCUUUUGGUUGCCUAACCAGACACACCCAGUUCCUUAUUUUUCAGAGGCACUGAGGACCCACAGCUCCCACUGACUUCAGUUGGAGUUGAAGAUGCUCAUUGUUACAACCUGGCCUAAUACCCCACUGUACAGAUACCACUUUGUUGCAAGGGGACCUAGUCACUGGGUUCCAUGUACUUUCAAGCCCGUUGGGUCAGGGCAGAGUCUAGUCAUUGUUUCUGGCUCUGGGUGUCUAGGGCAAACUACCAGGCUCAGACCUCUUGUUGGUGCCCUUCCUUGGGACAGGGGAUACCGCUGCUCUAGUCCCCCAAAUCAGUGUCUCAGACCCCCUGGUCAUUUGCUCCUGCCCCCAUCGUUCCACCAUGACUGCGGGCUGUCUGGGCUAAUAAUUUAACCCCAUCAAGAAUAACAUAGCAGGAGAGUAAGGAACACAGGCUUAGCAUAGGAAUUUCUUAACCUAAGAGACUUUACUCUUAGAAGCCCUUGAGAAUUACAUAUCUCUGAACCUCAAAACCCCUGAGAGCCACUCUCCUUAUAUCUGAUCUCACCCCUUCUUGUGAGGCCGAGAUCUGUUGGCAUUGCAGGCCAGACAGAGACCCUCCUUUCUGCUCUCUCCUGCAAGCUGUUAUUAUAGGUGGUGAUAAUAGCAACCUGCAUGGAACUUGGAGAGAGGAGCAGAGGUUUCAGGAGGGAAGAGUUUAGAGGAGGCACCAGGAGCUCACUCUCUAUGCACAUGGCUGGAAUUCUAGCUGCUGUUGAAGCACCUCUGUAAAUAGUUCUUUUAAGAAAGACCAGUCUAGUUUUACAAGUUGUGACAGGGGACCCCUCUGCUCCUGUCUUCCUCUGCACCCACAGACCCUUGGAGACUCUCUGCAAUAAACAUCAUGUGUGGCUUAUUUACAGUGUUUCCCCAGUCACCCUUAUGGAAUUGUGGCACGCCGUAUCUACUAUUACCUAUUAUUCCUCAGCCACUCAGGCCAAGUAUAGGAGAGGGAAAAGAUAUCUCUCUGAGCUGUCUUUUUGCUCUGUCUCUCAAAACCUGCCUGCCUCACCCUGGCUCUCUUCCCUCUUCACUGCCUUCCUGUGUCGUCUUCUACUCCUGGAGCUAACAGGCUAAUUUGUGCUUUAACUCUCCCCAGCCCCUUCUAAUCUGCUAAAUAGGCACAGUUUUGCCAGUCAGAUUGACUCUGGGAUGAUUUAAUUGGUGAUACAGUGGUUAGGGUGCUGGUACAGCUGCUGUUGCCCAGCACUCUGUCAUACAAGUAUGUGUCCUUUCAUGUUAUUACUCAGCACAUGAAACAUGGUCAUAGUGGGGAGUCUAGUGAGACACACACCAAGGAACAGAGUGUGAUUAACAAGCAAACGAACACCUAGAAACAGCAAACGGGCAGCAUGGAGGGACUCAGCCCACCAGGAAUGCUGAAUUUCCAGACAAAAUACUCCACACCAGAGUGGAAGCAAGAAUUGAUUCUGUAUACAGAGCUGGCCAUCAGGGGCAAGCUACCACCUUAGGAAGAAAAAAGCACAAAUACAUGCAGUGAUGAGGAUACAGAGACUUUCAGUGAAGGGGCAGAUCCCACGAUUCUCAAUGUAUCCACGCUGCAGAAGAAGUCUGCCAGCCGUUCAUCUGGUCCCCAACCUAUUUGAUUCCCACUGGAUUGUGGAGCCAGCUGCAUGUAAUCCCAGCAACAUUAGGAAGCAGCAGUAUUAGACUAGAGAAUGAGGCCAAGUGCUGGUGAGGAACAGUAAAAUCAUUCUGAGACCUGAAACAAGAUGUCAUUGCCUGGAAUAUAUAGUAGACGACACGCAGGAAUAGCACCCACUGCUGGGCAGCAGGGUAGUGCAAGCCAUGGAUUUGAUCACAGUAUAGCACCACCAUUAUCCUCAUUGUGAAAUAGGAGGGAGAAUAGCCAUUGUGGGCCCUAUCCAGCAGCAUUCUAACAGUAACGGACCCCAACAUGCAGUCCACGAGGUUACCAAAAUGCAGAGUUCCAUUAGCUCUGGUGGAGCCAUUGAAGAAGGAACUGUCCAGCCUGAAAAGAAGAGGCAUCAUUACAAUUGUUUGAAACUAGCACAGAGUGAAUCAGCAGUCUAGUAGUGGUGAGAGAAACUAGUAA